RNAcentral lists this unclassified non-coding RNA (227 nucleotides) under plant metagenome. RNAcentral describes it as "partial contains small subunit ribosomal RNA, internal transcribed spacer 1, and 5.8S ribosomal RNA". The record is from RNAcentral.
UUUCCGUAGGUGAACCUGCGGAAGGAUCAUUAAAGAAUUUGCCCCGUCCUCUCGAGGAUGGGUCCUCUUCUAAACCGUGUAUACAUACCUUUGUUGCUUUGGCGGGCCGCCGUCUCGGCGUUGGCUUCGGCUGACUGUGCCCGCCAGAGAACCCCAACUCUUCUGUUUAGUAUUGUCUGAGUACUAUAUAAUAGUUAAAACUUUCAACAACGGAUCUCUUGGCUCUC